This 397-nucleotide ribosomal RNA is filed under the name uncultured bacterium. RNAcentral describes it as "partial 16S ribosomal RNA". It matches the Rfam family "Bacterial small subunit ribosomal RNA", at positions 523 to 918 of the family's 1533-position model. The record is from RNAcentral.
AUACGUAGGUGACGAGCGUUAUCCGGAUUUACUGGGCGUAAAGGGCGUGUAGGCGGUCUUGCAAGUCAGAAGUGAAAUUCCUGAGCUCAACUCGGGCGCUGCUUCUGAAACUGCAGGACUUGAGUGCUGGAGGGGAUAGCGGAAUUCCUAGUGGAGCGGUAAAAUGCGCAGAUAUUAGGAAGAACACCGGUGGCGAAGGCGGCUAUCUGGACAGUAACUGACGCUGAGGCGCGAAAGCGUGGGGAGCAAACAGGAUUAGAUCCCCUGGUAGUCCACGCCGUAAACGAUGAAUACUAGGUGUAGGGGGUAUCGACUCCCUCUGUGCCGCAGUUAACACAAUAAGUAUUCCGCCUGGGGAGUACGGCCGCAAGGUUGAAACUCAAAUGAAUUGACGGGG